UUUUCUCGGAGAGUGAAAAUGUUCCCAGCUGUGUGGACUACGCAAGCGCGAAGCUAAAUGGCUCCUGGUCCCUCUUCUAUUUUGCUGUUUUUCCAUGUGGCAAACAUUCCUUCUUCACCUGCUUCUAAUGGGGCUGAAAUACAUGACUUCCUUAUUUGUUUAUGAAGCUUAUGCGUGAUAUCAGAAUGGCUCUGAGAAUAGUAGUUGAUAGACGAUGAAUCCGGGCUUCCCCUCUUUGUGAGCGCUGUAAAAAUGGUGCCUGUGUUUUGUUGAGGAGUGGACUCUUCCUUUAAGGAAAAAAUGAGGAUAUGGGGAAUGUUUGUUCCCUAACAGACUUCAGACAUUUUAAGUGACUGAUUGCGCAGCCUUAAUGUUGCACUGAAUUGGACUUGUUUUUUCUAAUUUAAUGAUGUAUUUAAAGAGGAACUUCAAGAAAGAGAAAUGCAAACCACCUGCUGUUGAGGCUCUCAUUUAAAAACAAAAACCCUACUAAUUGUAAUUACUAAAAUUCCUAAUUAAAGCCAUCAUUCAUGUCCAUAGAACUACUCACAGUCUUAUGUACCUAACUGAUUUGGAGCCUAAAGGAAUAAUUUCUCUGAAUGUGAGCACUAGAUCUGCUUCUCUCCAGCCUAUGGAAUCCUACAACAAGACAGUAAAGCUCCAAGCAAACCAAUGCUACUCUAUUGAAUGAAAUCUUGGGUUGAUUUGAGUGACUUAAACAAUCUUUGUCAGAAUUAAAACUUGGAGAGACAAGUGUCCUGCUCUAGUGUAUGCUGGCUGUGACAAUGCAAGCGUAGUGUGUGCUUGGACAUCUCAGAGAAGGAAUCUACAAUCCACAACUACAAAAGGGAUCUAAGAAACAAAAAACUAAUCAAGGAAAAACACCUGCGGUUUGAAUGCUGAGGCUUUGACAUCAAAACGUCUUCUCAGAGGUGCACAGCCUUAUUCCUGAGGAAGUUCUUUUGAUCCACCAAUGUCUGUACAUUUGAAAAUCUGGUUCUGAGCAUAUACAGUAGAUAGGUUCGUUAAGAUCAUUGAGUGACCCUAAGGAAGGCUGAUCAAGAUGUGCAUACCCAACACUGUUAGCUUCACAGUGAACUGUCUAGUUCCCUGUGCUAGAGUUCUGGCAAGAGCUCCUGUUGAGACUGUAUGUUAUACUGAGUCUUAGCCAAGGACCCCAGCUAACACUGUACAUGCAUUAUUGUUCAGCAAAUGACAUGAUUACAUUCUGUCUCAAAUAUAUAACCUUUCCUACAACCUUGCAUAUGCAAAUGUGCCACGAAAUAUAAGAGUAGGAGGAAAGGUGUCCUGCCAUUUAUAAUGGUUUAAAAUUACGUUAACUUUCAUUCACUGUAGCACUCAGCAACAUUUCAAGAAACUACUUCUUGAUAUUUAAAAAAGUACUUACUACAUAACAAUAUUAGGUAUUUAACACCUAGGAGGGAAAACAGAUACUUAUGGGAAAAUUCAGUUUUUUAUUUACUUAGAAAUAUAUUGGUAAGAUUUGAAACAGUAAUGUAUAAGGACAAAAUUCUACAAAGAAAUUCUCACUCGUUAAAAAGACAUGAUUAUAUUAAAGAACAUGCAUCUAGUAUUAAGAUAAAGUAAUUUACUUCCUUAAGAAAGUUUGAGGAUAGGUCACAUGAAAACUACAGAGAAGUGAUACUUAAGACUGUUAAAAAAGAAAAUCAAACAAAUGUUAAUGCAAUGGUGUACAUGUUUUUCUGUUGGAUUAAAAAAAACUCCAGCCACAUACAGUAUUAAGAGAUACAUCUAGAAAAGAAAAAAAUCCUCCUAAACAUAUGGUGAUGGAGGGAAACCACUGCAAUAGACUGUUGAGAGAAGAGAACUGAUCAGUUAGAGCCUGAUCCAAAGCCUGCUGAAGUCAUAGGAUGUCUUCAGAUUGACUUUCAUGGUGUAGGCUUUGAAUUCAGUGAUCGUUGCCAAAUGCUGAGCACCUUUGAAGAUUAUACUCUAAAUCAAUAGAUGUAUUGGACCAUUAUAACUAUGAAAUUAAUGAAAACAUUACAAGAUGCUACACUUGCACUUAAAUCUAUUAAAUUUUAUUUUUUGAGCAAUAGUGUAUGAUUGCACAAAGACUGUUGUAAUGCAUCAGCACAACAGAGCAUGUGCAGACUUAGCCAUUUCCUUAUUUUGGUGUGCUUAACUGCAUCCCUAAUAUUCUCAGUGUAAC
Molecule: long non-coding RNA, 2194 nt
Organism: Mauremys reevesii (Reeves's turtle)
Lineage: Eukaryota; Metazoa; Chordata; Testudines; Geoemydidae
Exons: 5
Source: RefSeq, a predicted model, not a curated record